Molecule: ribosomal RNA, 516 nt
Filed under: uncultured bacterium
Lineage: Bacteria
Description: partial 16S ribosomal RNA
Rfam family: Bacterial small subunit ribosomal RNA
Source: RNAcentral
GACGAACGCUGGCGGCAUGCCUAAUACAUGCAAGUCGAGCGGAGUUGAUAGAAAGCUUGAUUUCUUGAUACUUAGCGGCGGACGGGUGAGUAACACGUAGGCAACCUGCCCUCAAGCUUGGGACAACUACCGGAAACGGUAGCUAAUACCGAAUACUUGUUUUCUUUGCCUGAAGGAAACUGGAAAGACGGAGCAAUCUGUCACUUGGGGAUGGGCCUGCGGCGCAUUAGCUAGUUGGUGAGGUAACGGCGCACCAAGGCGACGAUGCGUAGCCGACCUGAGAGGGUGAUCGGCCACACUGGGACUGAGACACGGCCCAGACUCCUACGGGAGGCAGCAGUAGGGAAUCUUCCGCAAUGGGCGAAAGCCUGACGGAGCAAUGCCGCGUGAGUGAUGAAGGUUUCCGGAUCGUAAAGCUCUGUUGCCAGGGAAGAACGCUUGGGAGAGUAACAGCUCCCAAGGUGACGGUACCUGAGAAGAAAGCCCCGGCUAACUACGUGCCAGCAGCCGCCGUAA